ACGGAAGGCAGCAGUGGGGAAUAUUGGACAAUGGGGGAAACCCUGAUCCAGCGACGCCGCGUGAGUGAAGAAGUAUUUCGGUAUGUAAAGCUCUAUCAGCAGGGAAGAUAAUGACGGUACCUGACUAAGAAGCCCCGGCUAACUACGUGCCAGCAGCCGCGGUAAUACGGAGGAUGCGAGCGUUAUCCGGAUUUAUUGGGUUUAAAGGGUGCGCAGGCGGGCCUUUAAGUCAGCGGUGAAAUCCCGUAGCUCAACUACGGAACUGCCGUUGAUACUGGAGGCCUUGAGUCGUGUCGAGGAUGGCGGAAUGCAGCGUGUAGCGGUGAAAUGCUUAGAUAUGCUGCAGAACUCCGAUUGCGAAGGCAGCUGUCCAGAGACGAACUGACGCUGAGGCACGAAAGCAUGGGUAUCAAACAGGAUUAGAUACCCUGGUA
This 434-nucleotide ribosomal RNA is filed under the name uncultured bacterium. RNAcentral's name for it is "partial 16S ribosomal RNA". It matches the Rfam family "Bacterial small subunit ribosomal RNA", at positions 341 to 792 of the family's 1533-position model. The record is from RNAcentral.